RNAcentral lists this unclassified non-coding RNA (137 nucleotides) under Aspergillus versicolor. Its description in RNAcentral is "partial miscellaneous RNA". Lineage: Eukaryota; Fungi; Ascomycota; Eurotiomycetes; Eurotiales; Aspergillaceae. The record is from RNAcentral.
GCUGCCCAUCAAGNCCGGCUUGUGUGUUGGGUCGUCGUCCCCCCCGGGGGACGGGCCCGAAAGGCAGCGGCGGCACCGUGUCCGGUCCUCGAGCGUAUGGGGCUUUGUCACCCGCUCGAUUUAGGGCCGGGCGGGCG